Molecule: long non-coding RNA, 223 nt
Filed under: Glycine max (soybean)
Lineage: Eukaryota; Viridiplantae; Streptophyta; Magnoliopsida; Fabales; Fabaceae
Description: long non-coding RNA (GMAX_LNC004437)
Source: RNAcentral
AGAAAAUCACCACCUUAAAAGAACCUACAUGCAGGAUGACAUGAAUAAUGCUUGGACAUGUCAAAAAAGUGUGGAAUGAAUUCUCCAACUCCCCAUUGCAAUGAACACAAGUGGAUGGACACUCAAUUCCCUUUUCCCUCAGUCUAACUCUGAUUGGCAGACAGUUCAAUGCUGCCCUCCACACCUAGGGGAUCAGGCAGCAGCUGCCAGAUGUUAAUGUUCC